Papaver somniferum (opium poppy) is the source of this 4886-nucleotide long non-coding RNA. RefSeq lists it as uncharacterized. The transcript is spliced from 2 exons. The record is from RefSeq and is a predicted model, not a curated record. NCBI's taxonomy places the organism in Eukaryota, Viridiplantae, Streptophyta, Magnoliopsida, Ranunculales, Papaveraceae.
UUUGUCAAAAAAUGAAACAUUCAUUUCUCACCCGAGAAGCAAAGCAGCAGCAAGACAGAUCUUUGAGGUUCUGAAAUGGAAAUGGGUUGUUGACCUAAUUUUGGUGGAGCUAAUCAAUUUCAAAGAAGGGGAUUUGAGGCAAGAAUACGGGAAUUGUAGAUACAGAAAUUUGGGGAUUUUCGGAGUACAAAGGCAUGAGCGGUGAUUCAAUUGACUUGACUUAGCGCCUGCAGAAUGAGUUUGAUUGUGAACUGGUGAUGCUCAAAGAAUCUCUUCUCAAUCAAUUUGAUGUUGAUGUAUGGGGUUCUCGAUUUGCUAGUGGUCUUGAUAGCGAAUUAGGUCUGAGUUUUGGGGGUUCGAAGUUAAAUGAUGAUGAGUACUUGUUUAGUGGAUCUGUGGUUUAAAGUAUUGAAGGGUCCUUACUGUGAAUUUUGGUCCGAACAAGAAGAGAUUAACAGCAACAACGUUUCAGCAGGCGAUGAAGUUGGCUGAAUAGGUUUGAUGUUAAUGGAAUGGAAGCUGGGGGUUUCUCGGUGGUUGAUUACUUGCAGUUUUGUUUCAAUUCGUACAAGGAGGUGCAGACUGUGGCCGGAGUUGGAUGCUAUUGCCUGACUUUGAAAGGGCCUGAAUUAAGAAAGUGGAGGCUGUGAUUGGACUGGGCUUUGGUGGUCGCUGUCACUAAUACAAGAGAAGAACUAGAGUGCUAUUUAAGGAGGAAUGAGGAGAAGAAAAGGGACGCCGUUAUCAGGGAAGAAACUAGGUUUUGCUAUUUUGCUUUCUGCAAUUCAUAUGCUUUACUUGUUAUUAUCUAUAUUAUUUUUGAUGGCUUUUAAGAAAACCAUGUCUAGCUAAACUCCUCAUUAGGGUGAAAGAUGAACUUGUAGGUUGAAUUUACUUGUGUUCUCAAACAAUGGUUUUAAAAAUAAAAGAUUAACGUCAUGUUUGUGUUUCUCAAGAUUGGGUUGUUUUUUUAAUGAGUUUUUCAUGUUUUAUGCCAUGUAUAUUUCAUAGUUGGAUUCUUGAACAACAUCCAUAUAGAACAUUGGUGAUAAAUGAUUUAUGAUUAGUGCUUAGGAUUUCUACCUUCUAGGUUGAGAACAAACGUAUCCUCUUGAUAAUCCUUAUCUACUGUUCUUAAUUGAAAUAUCUUCCGUGUUUCGAUAGCUAGGUUUGCUAUUGUUCAUGAGUUAAAUGAGACCUUUGUGAGAGACAUAAGUGAAAUUUUAGCCUACAACGGAUUCCAUAACCCUAAUAUUUCUACAUCCUUGAUUACAUAUCAUUAUAAAUUUGCUUUAUUUUACUUGACAUCUUAUUUUCUUAAUACAACAUCUCUGAAAUAUUGAAUUUUGGUUAGUUCGGUCUUGAUAUUAAUUAGUAGUAGUUUUCGCACUCCUUGAGGGAACGAACCGUGCUUGCUAUUGUGUGCUGUUUUUGACACCGUGCACUUGCGGUAAAACAAAGUCGGUCUACCGAUCCAUCAAGUUUUUGGCGCCGCUGCCGGGGAGUGGUUGCAUAAUACUCUCUAAUUGAUUCUUUUUGUAUAUUGCUUAUUUUUAUAUUAUUUUGUACAUAGUUUGUUUUUAUUUUUCAUUUUUUUUUUACGUAGCUUGUUUGAUUAUCUUUAGGUACUUUAGCUUGAAGAGCGCAACUGGAAUCUCUCGAAAAUAGGCAGAAAAGUAAGUAUUUCGCUGAGCUUUUGCAAGGUGAGUUUGAACUGAAUUCUGCAUUUUGUUAGAUUUCACAAGAUCUACCUAGUGGUUGGGUAGAGAAUUGUUUAAAUCGUCUUGUUAGAGUUAACUCUUUAUACAUGACGGGAACGAAUGGUGAGGGUACGAACCCUCCGAUUAAAAAUUUGAGAGACUAUAUGUAUCCAACUAGAGUCUCUCAACUUUCUUGUAUUGUUUUGCUUACCACCACAACAACCUAUGAGAUUAGAGCAAGAACCAUUCAAGCACUUCCUAAAUUUUAUGGCGAGGAGAAUGAAAAUCCUUACUACCACAUUAGAUAUUUGAAGAAUUCUGUGGAACAAUAUAAUUCAAGGACUUAGCUGAUGAGUAUCUUAAGCUUAGGUUGUUCCAUUUUUCGUUAAAGGAUAAGGCUAAAUCUUGGCUAAAUGCGUUAGCUCCUUCAUCAAUUAGUACCUGGAAUGACAUGACUAAUAUAUUCUUGUAUAAAUUCUUUCCUAGGCAUAAAACUACUGCCAUUCGUCAAAAACUGUAUAGUUUUUCGCAACAAGAAGGAGAAUCUCUUUAUGAUUAUUUAGAGAGGUUCCAUGAUCUCUUGUUACAAUGUCCACACCAUGGGUUUGACACUCCUAGGCUCACGUUGAUCCUUUAUGAGGGAUUAGAUUACAAAACAUUGACUAUGGUAGAAUCACUUUGUGGUGGUAAUUUUUCCGAUAAAAGUGCUGAAGAAGGUUAUAAAUUUUUGCAUGAAGUAGCUGAAAAAGCCCAAGAGUGGGAGGCUACAGAAACCAUAAGAUCAGUAACUAGUAGCAAUGGGGUUCACAGAGUUGACAAUGACUUCGAGGCCAAGUUCGCUGGUUUGACACGAAGACUUGAGUCGUUAGAAAGAAAGGCUAAAAUUAAGCCUGUUGAUUUUAUUACACAUCCAUCUUCUAUUUCUAGCGUUUUUCUAACCAAAGUAUUCCUAGUUUGGAAGAAAGCAUGAGCUUGUUUGUGCAGAAUACUCAAAGAUCUAUGGCGAACUUAGAGCAUCAACUAGACCAGCUUGCUAGCCAACUGAAUGAGCGGGAGAAGGAUCAGAUUUCGCGUCAAAUCCAGCCCAACUCCAAGGGUCCUUUGAGGUAAGCACAUCUGGUGCUAAGCCGACUCAUCAUGUCCAGGACUACUCUACUCUAAGAAGUGGACGGAUCGUUGAUAACCAUGUUAGUGAUCCUGAGGAGAACGAGUAAGUUAGGAACCCGCCUGCCAUUAAACAGGUAACUCCUUCAACACCAAAGGAAACGAAUGAAACCGAGAAAGGUAAAUCUGAAAUUUCAUUGAUCCAUCUAGUAGUUCUCAGAAUGCUUGUAUGAGGAUUGAGUAUAUGGAUACUGGUCAGGUAAUUCACAAUGACAAAAUGGAACAGAAGUUUGUUUGUCUAGAUCUUGAUGCCAACUCCGAUUAUCUCAUGCUUGCUGAAAAUUUUAGUACAUUGCCGCUACUGAUCUCUAGUGAAAGUAAUGUGUCCAGUGGAGUUAUUUCAACAUGCUUAGGGGCAAAUUUAGGGUAUAAGACAAGUGUUGACAUGUCUAAACAUCAUUUGCAUGUUAUGCUUAUAUCUGAGUUGUUUCACAUGACCAGAUGGGCAGGUUGGAAUUAUAGUCCUUUUAAUUGCAGGGUUGAUAUCAAUUUGUUUAUUACUGUGGGAUUUAAUCCUUAUUGUUGUAUGAUCCUCUUUUUAGUGGACUUCGUGUGUUGGGUUGAUCCCCAACUUUUCAGGCUUUACAUAUAUGCUGGCAGGUUGCUGUUAUGCAUCAAUCUUCACUUUGUUUGAGACUACGUUGGAUGACUCAAUUACAUUGAGGACAAUGUAAAGUUCAAGUAUGGGGGAGUGCUUAAGUAUAUAUAGAUUUUUGGUAGGAAUUUAAUUUCGUUAUGAAUUUUCUUCAAAAAAAAAGUAUAUUUAUAAAGAAAAAAGGGAUCAGUUUUGUGAAGACAAGACCAGCUGUUGAGCGGGUCUUAAAAAUUCACUUUUUGCGCAACAUGACCAGCUGUUGAGCGGGUCUUAAAAAAUUUUCUUUUGUACAACAUGACCAGCUGUUGAGCUGGUCAUUCUGAUUAUCAGUCUCGCUGUUUAGCAGACUUCUUUAAGCCACUGUUUAGUGGUUUCGUCUUGCUGUUUAGCAGACACUUCUCAACCACUGUUUAGUGGUUUGUCUUGCUGUUUAGCAGACAUCUCCCCAUCUCCUAUUUUAUCCAGCUGUUGAGCAGAUACCCCUAUCUCCUAUAUUAUCCAGCUGUAGAGCGGAUUUUUGUUUUGUUUUGCUCUGGACUAGCAAAAUAUAAGUGUGGGGGAAUCUGAUAAGCACGCAAGUGCGACACUUUUAUACCCGCAUUUAUACUAGCUAGGUCUCGAUAUUUAUCUAAUAAUAUUGUUUUAAGUCAAUUACAGGAAUUACAAUUGAAAUCUGUUCACCCGGAGAAUAAUUGGAUAAACAAGGAUCUGAAUGGCGUUUCCGAAAACAAAGCCCAGGGCUCCAAAAGAGAUAAGGCCUAUGGUGAUCUGCCUUGUAUGCCCAUGCUGCUCAUGGCUCGAACCACUUGCUUAGCUGCAUCAUUUGACUGCCACGGCUGUAGUUCAGUAGAAGGAAGAAAUGUCACUAUACCAAGCAUGUGAGCCGCACGAGUGGGUCUAAGAAGAACAGAAGGCGUGGCUGCUUAUGCACCACAUUUUCUUAUCAUCAUCUUCUCGUCUUUGUCAAAAAAUGAAACAUUCAUUUCUCACCCGAGAAGCAAAGCAGCAGCAAGACAGAUCUGUGAGGUUCUGAAAUGGAAAUGGGUUGUUGACCUAAUUUUGGUGGAGCUAAUCAAUUUCAAAGAAGGGGAUUUGAGGAAAAAAUACAUGAACUGUAGCUAAAGACAUUUGGGGAUUUUCGGAGUGCAAAGGCAUGAGCGGUGAUUCAAUUGACUUGACUUAGCGCCUGCAGAAUGAGUUCGAUUGUGAACUGGUGAUGCUCAAGGCAUCUCUUCUCAAUCAAUUUGAUGUUGAUGUAUGGGGUUCUCGAUUUGCUAGUGGUCUUGAUAGCGAAUUAGGUAUGAGUUUUGGGGGUUCGAAGUUAAAUGAUGAUGAGUACUUGUUUACAUAUUAUUAUAAAUUUGCUUUAUUUUACUUGACAUCUUAUUUUCUUAAUACAACAUCUCUGACAUAUUGAAUUUUGGUUA